RNAcentral lists this non-coding RNA (21 nucleotides) under Caenorhabditis elegans. The record is from RNAcentral. Lineage: Eukaryota; Metazoa; Nematoda; Chromadorea; Rhabditida; Rhabditidae.
UGAUUUUUCAGAAAUUCAGAA